Molecule: long non-coding RNA, 272 nt
Organism: Ruditapes philippinarum (Manila clam)
Lineage: Eukaryota; Metazoa; Mollusca; Bivalvia; Venerida; Veneridae
Exons: 2
Source: RefSeq, a predicted model, not a curated record
AUUACCCUAUAACUGAAAAUGGUUUCAGGAGCAUAACUUAAGUUCUAUUUGGCCAACAGUUUUCAAACUUCAUAGGAUGAUUGUCCAUAUUGGGUAGAAGACCCCUAUUGAUUUUGGGGUCACAAGGUCAAGGUCACUAUUAGCUUAAUACUGAAAAUGGUUUCCGGAGCAUAACUUAAGUUCCAUUUGGCCCAAAGUUUUCAAACUUCAUAGGAUGAUUGUCUAUAUUGGGUAGAAGAUCCCUAUUGAUUUUGGGGUCACAAGGUCAAGGU